AUCGCUUCUUGGCCUUUUGGCUAAGAUCAAGUUUAGUAUCUGUUCUUAUCAGUUUAAUAUUAUGUUAGUAUAAUCUGCUUUGUAUCAGCAAUUAGUUUCAUUGGAAUAGAGAAAUGAAA
Small nuclear RNA from Oryctolagus cuniculus (rabbit), 119 nucleotides. Its record names the gene U2. It matches the Rfam family "U2 spliceosomal RNA". From Rfam's summary of the family: U2 is a small nuclear RNA (snRNA) component of the spliceosome (involved in pre-mRNA splicing). Complementary binding between U2 snRNA (in an area lying towards the 5' end but 3' to hairpin I) and the branchpoint sequence (BPS) of the intron results the bulging out of an unpaired adenosine, on the BPS, which initiates a nucleophilic attack at the intronic 5' splice site, thus starting the first of two transesterification reactions that mediate splicing. The record is from Ensembl. NCBI's taxonomy places the organism in Eukaryota, Metazoa, Chordata, Mammalia, Lagomorpha, Leporidae.